Pollicipes pollicipes is the source of this 693-nucleotide long non-coding RNA. RefSeq lists it as uncharacterized. The transcript is spliced from 3 exons. The record is from RefSeq and is a predicted model, not a curated record. Lineage: Eukaryota; Metazoa; Arthropoda; Thecostraca; Pollicipedomorpha; Pollicipedidae.
ACAGCCGGCACGCUAAAAUCUUCGAUCCGCUGCUUGUCCCAGCUUAUCACCUACAGCGCAAUAGACAGCGAAAAAUCUUGGUCUGCAGGCAUGGCUGCCGCGCAUGCCGGCCAUGCAGGAGCGGCUGACGGCAUGGCAGCGCUCGAUGAAACGUCACGAUUGGGAGCAGCGCCGGCACCACGAAGCCCAAGCGGCACGCCUCGUCGACGUGCAAGUCCAGCAGCGCUUCCUGAGCGUAAGAGACUGUCUGCCGUUAUGCGGUUGGGAGUAAUGUCCAUGUGUGGCGCUUGUCUCGUGAUAUAUGUGCUCACAGACGCACGGGAAGAACGUGUGCUUAAAGAGGGAGAAAAAGAGAAAGAAGAGCGUUUGCAGUCACGACCCGCUGCCGCCGUCGCCCAGCCCGCCUCUGGCUGCAAACCCGCCGCACGGACUCCUGGAGUGCGAUCCGUCUCCUGCUGCCGGCGCUGCUGCAAGGCCGCAGGACUGAGCACAUCAUGAUGCCUCACAUUAUGACAACCCUCGCCGGUCCCCGGCUGGCCAUGAGGGAGGCCAACGGCUGGCUCCAGAGGCAGCAACGAGCUCACGCCAUGACAGCCGGGACGGUUAAAUCUGCCAUCCGGUGCCUGUCUCAGUUGAUUGCCUAUGUGGCCAUCGGCAGCGACAACCUGGGCCUCCAGGCGUGGCUGCCGCACA